Molecule: small RNA, 1065 nt
Filed under: Pongo abelii (Sumatran orangutan)
Lineage: Eukaryota; Metazoa; Chordata; Mammalia; Primates; Hominidae
Description: retained intron
Source: RNAcentral
CCGGGAGCCACCCCAGCCCCGUGUGUGACUCUCAGAUCCCGAGGCUGGGCUCCUCCCCAGGGAGGCUGCAUGGCUGUGGCACAUACAGGAGGUAGGAGACAGAGGCCUCCACGGCGGAUGCUCGUGGCGUGAAGUCCACGUUGACCACGUUGUCGGUGCUGGGGGAGCGGAUGAAGGCCAGGGACCCGCGGCGCUCUCCCUGUGGUCGGGAAGCAGCCCGGAGGCCCUAAAACCCCAUUGGUCUCAUGUCCAGCACUGAAUCAGGUAGAGAACGGAGCAGAGCCCGAUGGGGCACGGAAGCCACACAGCUGAGUGCCAGAGGACGGAAGUGGGGCCGCCUAUGUGUCCUCAGACCCCACCCGCCUGAUGGCAGGGCCUGCAGAGCGUGAGGUUGUGCAGGAGCACAGGACAGAGUGGGCUUCUGGCUGGAGUCAGGGUCCCCAGGGCCGGCGGGGUACGGGUGUGGAGGGAACAUCAGCUCACUGUGCUCAGACCUCGCCAGGUGGGCACCCGCGCCGCAUUGCAGUGUGCAGGAUGCUCCCAGGAAAGCUCCCGGGGUCGGGUGGGUGCCGCUGUUCCCACUGAAGAUGCGGCCCCCAGUUCACUGCCCACUCGGUGGGGGGGCUUUGAGGGUCAUUGGUUCUGAGGGUCCUCUGCCUGCUCUUUUGCUUCUAAAUCCAGCAUCUUCUGUACGACCUUUGUCCCUCUUCUGCCACCCCGUGAAGACAGACUUGAGGGUCGGGGGAACCACGGUGCUAACCGCCACUCUGGGCAGGCACAGGCGAGGGCUGUGGAGCACCCAGGCACGUGGGGGUCUUUGGAGGGGCUGCUCCCCACACCACUUCCCCUGCCCCCGCAGAGCCCUGCUGUGGGGUGGGGGAUGCAGAGAAAACAGCUGCCCUGUGUGAGAGCCAGGAAGGACACCGGGCAGGCGGAUACCACCCCAGGUGUGGAGACCCCUGCUACUGAGUGACCGGGAGGAGCCCACAGGCUCCCCACAUGCAGCUGAGCCCAGGGUCGUGGUCAUGGGUCGUGGGUCAAGGACGGUGGCUGGUGUGGUUGAGG